AGGAUGAACGCUGGCGGCGUGCCUAACACAUGCAAGUCGAACGGACCCUUCGGGGUUAGUGGCGCACGGGUGAGGAACACGUAGCUUACCUGCCCUCUACACUGAGAUAACCCUGCGAAAGCAGGGCUAAUAUCGGAUAAGCUCACGAGGAAUAGUAGCCUUGUGAGAAAAGCGUCCGGCGGUAGAGGAGGGGGCUGGCGGCCCAGUCAGCGUAGUUGGUAGAGGUAACGGCUCACCGAAGGCGACGGACGGGUAGGGACCUGGAGAGGGUCCGACCCCCCAGACGUGGGACUGACGACGACCGGCCCUAGACCUCCGUACGGGAGGCAGCGAGUAGACGGUAAUAGUU
This 349-nucleotide ribosomal RNA is filed under the name uncultured soil bacterium. RNAcentral describes it as "bacterial SSU rRNA". It matches the Rfam family "Bacterial small subunit ribosomal RNA", at positions 26 to 366 of the family's 1533-position model. The record is from RNAcentral.